GCCGGGGCUCGAUACCCAGGCAGUCCAGCCAGGACCUGCCAUCCAGGUGCCAGGCCAGGGCGAGGGGUCAGGGAAUGUUUUCCAGGGAAAGAUCUUGACUCAUAGGAACUGUACAUGGAGACGGAAUCAAGGGGAAAGGGCCCGGCCCAACACCACCGCUGGCUGCUCCUUCUCCAUCCCUGUCCGAGUCUGUCCUUCAGAAACGCCCUGUUGUUUCUAGAAAGUGACAACAAACAGGCCAAAGGUGGGGAUCUGCGGCUCGGCUGACCGAGAGCUGCAGAGGUGGGUCCGGCCAGCCCCGUUUCACUGGCAUCCUCUCCUCUCCGCCCACCUCCCUGGACCACCUUCAUCCCUGGCCCCACAUCCCAUCCACGGAGCCAGAGGAAAAGCGUGGGGCCUUCUGGGAGCUCCCUCGGAGGGGAGGGGAGGAGCCUCUUUCCCAGAAACCCUGGGAAAAACCUGGGGUUUCAUUGGCCUGAGCUGGUCACGUGCCCUUCCCUGAACCAAUCACGUGCCAGCAGGAAGGGGAAGGUGACUGCUUAAGCCAAUCAGGCCCCACCCUGGAGCUGUGGGAGGGUCAUUCAGACCACGUGACUGAGAGGGGACUCGGCGGUUCCCAGAGGAGAGUCUGCUGGGCUGGGUGGGAGGAGGUGGGAUGGAAGCUGGGGGCAGCGAACUACCGAGACGGAGAGCGCCGCCUGAGAUGGUUAAUCAUGACGUCGGAUCAAUGUGCAGUCCUCCCUGCGCUCCGCCCCGCCUCCCAGGGUCUCCUUCUCUACCUGCUGGCCUGAGAGCACCUUGUGGCUGGCAGCCAGAUCUGCCCCCUCCCAAUUCAGCCUUGCCCCAGCCAGUUUCCGCAAAAUUCAGACACACACCUACUGUAAGACCCAGCCGUCAUCUUCCCAGGGAUUCACCUGUCACAGAAGGAAGCAUUUGCUCAUGCAAAAGCUUUAUACAGCGGUUCAUGCACAUGGCUGGGGAAAAUCGCACCGGGGGACUGAUAAUGAGAAGUAGUGACUCCCUGGACCUCUCGGCCUGAGCUCCGUGCAUCAGGGAAGCAGCCACUGCGGGACCCACAGCAGACCCGGCCGUCCACGACCGGCCAUUCGCCACGUCCAGUCACAUCCUGGGGAGCUGUUUCUGCAGAGAUGGUCCAUGGCGCGGGUGGUCUGUGUCGCGGUGCCUGAGUGAGCAGAUGUGCGGCUCAGAGAGAGAGAUGCCCUGGGCUCCCCACCUCCUGGCUGUUCCUCAUGCUUCUCCCUCCAUCUGCACA
RNAcentral lists this long non-coding RNA (1273 nucleotides) under Equus caballus (horse). Its description in RNAcentral is "lncRNA (ENSECAG00000043193.2)". Lineage: Eukaryota; Metazoa; Chordata; Mammalia; Perissodactyla; Equidae. The record is from RNAcentral.